RNAcentral lists this long non-coding RNA (5195 nucleotides) under Sus scrofa (pig). RNAcentral describes it as "lncRNA (ENSSSCG00000060905.1, ENSSSCG00130021723.1)". The record is from RNAcentral. Lineage: Eukaryota; Metazoa; Chordata; Mammalia; Artiodactyla; Suidae.
CACAUACAGAAACUACUCGGUAUGUGUAUGUAUAUGUAUCUCCACUGGUUAGUUGUUAGUGGUGUCUAGAUUCUGGCAGAAGCUUCCUAAAGGACAUAAGUAUCAAGCCAUUCUGAACGUAGGUAUUUUAGCAGAAAAAGGCCAUUACAAUGCUUUAGGGCUAGCAUGUACGGAAGGCCUAGGUGGGGGAGCAGAAAAGUCACAUUCAGGUACCAUUGGGAAAUUUAAUGGACUAGAGUAGAGAAUUCAAAUAGAAAUUUAACUAGAAACAUCUAGAAAAAAGGGUGCCUACGAAAUGAAACCUUUUGAAACGCAUAAUUCUCAUUUAAUUUGGGAAGCAAUUGGAAGCGUUUGAGGAGGAGAGUGCAAUAGACCAAAAAUGUUUGAAACAGGAGAAAAUAAUACAAAUCAGAUCCUUAAUAUAAGAUGUUCCAAGAAGCUCCUAAAGAGCUUGAUUCUGGCUCUAACAUUGGGAAGGAAUGAUUAGGAUGUUCCUUCCUCCAGUAUUCAGCCUUCAACUGGUCAAGCUGAAGUAGUGAGAAUAAGGACAAGGGGACCAAGAGUUAAGGCUAGCCAAUCAGUCAAUAAUUCAUUAAUCAAGCAAAUAUUUGUUAAGCCACUUGCUUAAAAAUAUUAAUGCACAAUGUUAGAAGCUAGGAAUAUGAAUGUCAUAGGACAUCAUCCCAGCCCUUGAUAGAUACUCAUUUUUUAGCAGAGGAAGAUGAUGAUUUUUUGUUGAUGAAUUGGCAGGACUUCAAUAACAGUCCUGAAAUAGGAGUUCUUUUGUGUCACGUCAGGAUUGGUGGUGUCUUGGGAGGGCUGGGACGCAGGUUCGACCCUGGCCCAGCACAAUGGGUUAAGGAUCUGGCAUUUCCACAGCUGCGGCUUAGUUCAAAACUGCGGCUCGGAUCUUAUCCCUGGUUUGGGAACUCCACGUGCAGUGGGACAGACAAAAAAAAAGUCCUAAAAUAAAUGUCUAGCUAGUGAAAAAGGAACAUACUGGUCAAAUGGAUGAAAAUUAUCCGUGCUUGUGACCCUGGGGAAAGAAGAGAAUUGCAGCACCACUUUCCAAAAGAAUUUAGGAAGGAGAGAUUUGAUGUUUGAUAUUUUGUUUCAGACAGGUUUGGGUUGUUUGUAUAUAUGAGUAGUGCUGCCCUGCAGGCAGCAAGGAAUACUGAACCAACCGUAAUGUGGAUCGUCUAAGCUAGAGCUAAGGAUUUUUGAGAAUUUAAAGUCAUUUUCCUAGAAAGACUCACACAAGAGCAAAGUUAGUUAUAAACCGACAGUCUAUGAAUAAACCUAAAAAAAACAAACAACAACAACAACAAGAAAACAAAACCCCUGAUUAAAGGUUCAGGUGUAUUUUGUGUUUAGAGAUAAGAGAGGAAGGAGGGAUUCAGUGAAGGAAACAAAUUAGCUAGAUUUCCAACUAUGUUUUACUUAACUUCAUUUGCAUCUCCAAAUGUCACCCAGAAAUUAUUAAAAAUGGAAAAAGCUAAUUUUACAAUUGUGAAAUCUAGUCUAUUCUUCUUUUCUGAACUGAGUGAAAAAAUUCUAGAAAUAGUACCUUUACCUAAAGCUUGUAAGGCCAUCUUUAUCUUUACAGUUGUGACCUAAUUAAUGCUUUCCACAAACCAGCAAAUUUGGCAUUAUUUUCCUCAUUUUAUGAAGGAAAAACUGCACUGAGAGGUUUAGAAGCUCGAGAAGAAAUUAGUUUGCAGGUGAUAAUUACUUCUGUUUUGGUUUCUGUCCUUAAUGAGGAAAGAAAAUCACACUGUGCAUUUAAAAACUAUAGGUUGCCCUCCAGCUCCUUUAUGUGGGACAAUGUGAAAGCUCCAAUGAGACAAUUAUGAACGGGUUGAGGAAGAAGCAGCAUAGGCACCAAUGGCUUGAGAGAAAUUAAAAAUCAAAAAAUUGUACUUUGUUUCUUAAAUGGAGAGUCUUUUUUUAAAAGAUAGAGAAAUCAUGUCUUGUUUUGCUAAAUAUUUUCUUAACAUGCAUGGGUUUUCUAAAUACAACAAAAUUUAUUAUCAUCAACAUUCUUUCUCUCUUUCUUUCUCUCUUUCUUUCUUUCUUUCUUUCUUUCUCUUCCUUCCUUUCUUUCUUUCUUUCUCUUCCUUCCUUUUCUUUUCCCUUUUCUUUUCUUUUCUUUUUAGGACUGUAUCUGCAGCAUAUAGACGUUCCCAGGCUCUGGGGUGAAUUAGAGCUGCAGCUGAGGCCUAUGCCAUAGCCACAGCAAUGCCAGAUCUGAGCAGCUUGGGGCAACGCCGGAUCCUUAACACACUGGGAUCAAACUCACAUCCUCAUGGAUAAUAGUCAGAUUCUUAAUCCAAUGAGCCACAACAGGAACUCCUCAUUAACAUUUUUAGGCAUGUAUCUAAGGACAAGGUGACCAUGAAAACAACUUAAGGUAUGAUUCCUGAACUUGAAAUAUUUAUAAAACAGAUAACAUGAUUCUGAACAAAUUCAAAGAGUAAGAGAAAAGAAUUACAGACUGCUCAGCACUCAGAUCCAUACUCCACCUUCUGUCAAAGGCUUGCAUACCGGGAAUGGGUAUCAUUGUGGCCAUCUUGGAGGCUGCCUUCCAUAGUAAGGGGGGACAGUGAGCUCUGUUUGACAUGCUGAAUUUGAGAGGAUGCCAGUUUAUCCUAGUGGGGCUAUUUAGGAUUUAUUUGGAAACAAGACUAGAGAUCAGGAAAGCCUGGAGCUCAGGCCAAAGUUGGAGUCAUGGAUUUGGGAGUUACCGGUGUCUUACAAACGGUGGUUGAAAACUUUGGGAGUGAAUGGGAGAGGGCUGAAAUAGAAGAAAGUUAAAGAUAGAAUCCUAGGAAAUAUUAACUCAUAUGGAACAGGUGGAAUUAGAAGAGCUGCCAGAGAUAGGAAAGAAAGGGCAGUUAGAGAACACAGAAAGAGAAAAUCAUCCCAGAAGCUAGAGAAUAGAGGUCCCAUCAAAUCAGACAAGUGUCAAGUGGUAUGAGAAUAGGCUGUUGGAUUUGAUUAUUAAGUAGGUCAGUGUUAACCUUUAAGAGAGUGUUCCCAAACAGGGUCAUUGGGAAAAAUAAUUGAUGAAAUUAUUUAAUCAAAUUUGCUAAAGCAAAAUACAACAUACUGAUAAAAGCAAAUAGUAAUGGUCUUUAUAUAAGGCAUCUUUUAUUCCAAUCUAAGGGCCUAUUCCUUGAUAAAAACCACAUCCCUCCUUCAUCAAAGAAGAUUAAACAUGUUUACUUAGAGCUAUUUGACACGUCCAUCUCACUAUGCAAGCCAGAUCAUAGUGCACUUAGAUCCCUCAAGCUCCUCAGCCCAACCCCUGUCACAGUCUGCAUUUCAAAAGGCUGAAGAAGAAUCCUAUAACAACUGAUCAGGAAUACAAAGCUUUACAACAGAAUAGAUUUGUGUAAAAGAAAACAUUUGGGUUUUUUGGUUUGUUUUCUUUGUUUUUCUAUGCAUCUCAGUUAAAUGACCUUUUUACUGUAAAACUCUAACGACUUGACAUAUGACGCCAGGCUGCAUCAUAAAUAUCUGGCAGUUUAUAAUAAUUUUGCGUUUAUUUUAAAACACUUCAUCUAUUUUAUCACUGCUUAUUUUCAGUUUUUGUGUCUUCAAAAAUAGGUAGUAAAAAUCAAGAAUGAAGAGAAUGUUUAGAAUAAAACAGUAAACGUUCACCAAUGAAUACAUAUUUUUUAAAGAUUUGAAAUAUGUUUUAACCUCUAGAAUGUACUUAUUUUCCUCAUGCUAAGCUAAGGGCGGCUUCAAGGUACGAUGAGAACACUCUAAUAGCUGUAAUUUAGCCAAAACAUAUUCUCCCUGAUUUCACAGAAAUGAUGACUUUUGAUGACUUUAAUUCUAUGAAAGAAAACUUAAUACAUCUUUUCUUUGCUUCUGCCACCAAAGAGAGUGAAUGUAUACAUAACAGAGCCUAAGAAGGAAUAUGUGCCCAAACAUGUCCUGGCAUCUUUGGGAAGAUAGGAUCUGCCCAGACUCAAAGAACAUUGGAAUUGGGAGUAAAGAGGUAUACAAAUCAAUAUUUUAGUAGCCCAUAAUCCACUAUUUUUUGCCCACACCUGCGACAUCCAGAAAUUUCCUGCGCCAGGGAUUGAACCUCUGCCAUAGCAGUGACAAUGCUGAAUCCUUAACCACUAGGCCACCAGGGAACUCCAAGACCCACUAUUCUUAAUUGACUUUUGUAAAAACCUCUGUGUUAAGGAAAUUAUACUAGCCUCAUUCUUUGUAAUUUGCUGUUUUUAACUUAAGAGAAUUAGCUUUCGAAAUUCACUUCAUUCUUUCAAAAUUUCUCACAAGAUGUCCAUUUUGUUUGUUUAACUGCAAAUAGGGCACCAGAAUGCUAAUGAGGUAGAAUUUAAAACAUGGGUUGUGAUACAUAUAUACACACAUACAGAUGGAAGAAUCUAAGGAACUUUUUCUAUUGAAAGAGUGUAGAGUGUUAAGAUCACCUGCCCAAUUCCCAAAAUGAACCUGAGCCCAACUGUUAAGUGACUUGCCAAAGGUGUCACAACUGACAGGUGACAGAGCCAGGGUGAGACCCCAAGUCCCUGUCUUCCUAGUCUGGUGCUCUUUAUCCAACACCACCCUGCCCCUCCACUAGGUGAGAUUUUCAAUAUUUCCCCAAAAAGAACAAACAAAAUUUUUUUAUAAAACUUAUUAGUGGUUAGAGAAAAUUCAGGAACAUAAAUUUGAGUUCUGGCUCAUCUACCAUUUAUUUGCCACCAGCAAAUCACUAAUAUCUCCACAUCUAUAGCUACAUUUCCCUUAUUCAGAGAAGUACAUUUUGGUACUUCAAAGCCACGUACUACAGAUCAAGACCAGAGGUCAAAAGCUUUUGUUUCAUAGCUGGUUUCCUCUUCAGGUGACUAGACUUUUAAGCAAGUCAAUUAAGCUUUUUGACUUCCAGUUUUAUUUGUAAAAUGUAGCUCAUAAGAGAUGCUCUCCAAAUCCCAGGACUGUAGUGGGAUUAUGGCAUAUAAAAUAAAUUAAAAUGUUCUAAAAUAGUCUUUCAUGAGGUACAGGUAUUGUCUUACUUGAUUUCAUGAGUAUCCCCAAGGAUUUCCUUAUAAUGUUUAAGUUAUUGCUAAUAAUUACUGAGGAAAAAAUUAUUGGAGUCUGAAACCUUAUUUCCAUUGAAGAACAUGCUUUGCUAAUUUGUUAUUACUUGACUUCAAAAAUAAAGGCUUUUUGUU